Molecule: small nuclear RNA, 105 nt
Organism: Catagonus wagneri (Chacoan peccary)
Lineage: Eukaryota; Metazoa; Chordata; Mammalia; Artiodactyla; Tayassuidae
Gene: U2
Rfam family: U2 spliceosomal RNA
About the family: U2 is a small nuclear RNA (snRNA) component of the spliceosome (involved in pre-mRNA splicing). Complementary binding between U2 snRNA (in an area lying towards the 5' end but 3' to hairpin I) and the branchpoint sequence (BPS) of the intron results the bulging out of an unpaired adenosine, on the BPS, which initiates a nucleophilic attack at the intronic 5' splice site, thus starting the first of two transesterification reactions that mediate splicing.
Source: Ensembl
AUCACUUCUCAGCCUCUUGGCUAAGAUCAAGUCUAAUAUCUGUUCUCGUCACUUUAAUAUCUGAUAUGUCCUUUGUCCCCAGGCCGUUUUAGAGCUCCACUCAUU